GACAGAGGGUGCAAACGUUGUUCGGAAUUACUGGGCGUAAAGCGCGUGUAGGCGGCUAUGUAAGUCGGGCGUGAAAUCCCACGGCUCAACCGUGGAAGUGCACCCGAAACUGCGUAGCUAGAGUCCUGGAGAGGAAGGUGGAAUGCUUGGUGUAGAGGUGAAAUUCGUAGAUAUCGAGAGGAACACCUGCGGCGAAGGCGGGUUGCUGGGCUGACACUGACGCUGAGGCGCGAAAGCCAGGGGAGCGAACGGG
Molecule: ribosomal RNA, 253 nt
Filed under: uncultured bacterium
Lineage: Bacteria
Description: partial 16S ribosomal RNA
Rfam family: Bacterial small subunit ribosomal RNA
Source: RNAcentral